Molecule: ribosomal RNA, 482 nt
Filed under: uncultured bacterium
Lineage: Bacteria
Description: partial 16S ribosomal RNA
Rfam family: Bacterial small subunit ribosomal RNA
Source: RNAcentral
AGUGAACGUUGGCGGCGUGGAUUAGGCAUGCAAGUCGAGCGAGAACCGUAGCAAUACGGGGACAGCGGCGAAAGGGACAGUAAUGUGUAGGUACCUACCCCGGGGUCUGGGAUAGCUGCGGGAAACUGCAGGUAAUACCGGAUAAUGUCUUCGGACCAAAGGUGUGAUUCCACCUUGGGAGGGGCCUGCAUCCUAUUAGCUUGUUGGCGGGGUAACGGCUCACCAAGGCAACGCUGGGUAGCGGGUGUGAGAGCACGACCCGCGUCAUUGGGACUGAGAUACUGCCCAGACACCUACGGGUGGCUGCAGUCGAGGAUCUUCGGCAAUGGGCGAAAGCCUGACCGAGCGACGCCGCGUGCGGGAUGAAGGCCUUCGGGUUGUAAACCGCUGUCGUAGAGGAGGAAAUGCAGGGGGGUUCUCCCUUCUGUUUGACCUAUUCUAGGAGGAAGGACGGGCUAAGUUCGUGCCAGCCGCCGCUGUAA